Molecule: small nucleolar RNA, 76 nt
Organism: Danio rerio (zebrafish)
Lineage: Eukaryota; Metazoa; Chordata; Actinopteri; Cypriniformes; Danionidae
Source: Ensembl
UCUUCUAUGAUGAAUAAACUUUUGACUUUCGUUCUUCUGAGUUUGUCCUGAAGCCAGUUUAUUUGUUCUGAGAAAA